Molecule: long non-coding RNA, 1371 nt
Organism: Cydia pomonella (codling moth)
Lineage: Eukaryota; Metazoa; Arthropoda; Insecta; Lepidoptera; Tortricidae
Exons: 2
Source: RefSeq, a predicted model, not a curated record
ACCAAGGGCCUGACACGCUUUGAUAGAGAAAGAUAGUCUUAUUGCGAUUCCUAUAAGAGGAAAGAGAAAAUAGUGCAAUGCUUUGUCUUUAUCACGGACCGGGUUUUUUUUCAUGGUCGGGUUAUGGCAGCUUAGGAAGGAGGGUGAUGGCGAUAUACAGAAAUUUAUAAGAGUGAAAGAGACAAAAUCCCGCAAGAUGCCAUACAUUAAACUGUCAAUCAUAUUGUCAAGAGUGCUAGUAAACAACGUGGUUUUCUUAUUGUAGAAGUUUUAUAAAGUGAAUGAUUGUGUUUAUUAAGUAUUUAAUGGAGGUGUAAGAAGUUUUUACGUACAAUUAACAUGGUGGGGUGUUCAGUGGUUGCCUACAAAAGCAAUAACUUGCGAAAAUAAGCGGGUGUAACAUUUCAUGCCUCUCCGACGGAGGAUGAAAUUGUUAAAGAAUGGAUCGCGGGAACUGGAAAAUCAAAUUGGAUGCCUCACAAAUACUUGCGUAUUUGUUCCAAACAUUUUGAACAACAUUGUGUCCGCAAACUGGGCAAACGAACUUUCAUCGAAAAGUUUUCUUUUCCAACCUUGUUCAUACACGUAAGUUGGCUGUUAUUAAAUAAGUAAUAGUAACUAGUGGGAAUAACCCGUUACACUAUACACUAUUAGAGUUGGUACAUCUUAACAUAGGUCUCACAGUGUUUUGAAGUAUUUAUUUGGGUUCUUUGUACACGGGUCGUCUACGGGUUUUAAUGGUAUUAAACUCUAACUAAUUAUUGGGGGUAAUUUCUGGGAAUUAAAAAUCCUACCUAUUACCAGUGGGAAUUUUAUUUCCCAGUAGUUACCAGUGGUAAAAGGUGGGAAUAAAAUUAGUGUAACUACCUGUGGUAAAAGGUGGACAAAAGUUCCUAGUAGUUACCACUAGUAACAACUUGGUGGUAACUAGCAGGAAUAACCCUAUAUAAGACCACAGACUUAAAUUUUUAAAUUAUUUCUUGGAGGCUUGGUACAUGGGAUUACGGAUUAUAUGAGUAUUAAACUCUAAAAUAAUGUAUUUAUUAAAAUUGAUUAAUACUACCCCGCAGGAGAGGAGAGAAAAAAUUCUUUUCUUCAUCAUGUCAUGGAAAUCGUCCAUUCGUGCACGUCGUCGUCGUGGCAGUCUCAACAGCAUUCUGAAGCUAUUAUUGAACUUCAUAUAAUUGAUCCACAGGUUACAAGUGUAUGUGUAAAUAAAGUUUUCUUGACCCCCACAGUAUGUACAACGCGCAACACGUAAGAUUUUUUAUUUAAACAUAAAUAUUCGGUUUUAAGUAACAGUUUUAAUGUAAAUGACCAUGUUAACUUAAAAUCAUAUACUGCGAAUCAAUAUUAUAGCUAUAAAUGUCA